RNAcentral lists this transfer RNA (69 nucleotides) under Bos taurus (domestic cattle). It matches the Rfam family "tRNA". From Rfam's summary of the family: Transfer RNA (tRNA) molecules are approximately 80 nucleotides in length. Their secondary structure includes four short double-helical elements and three loops (D, anti-codon, and T loops). Further hydrogen bonds mediate the characteristic L-shaped molecular structure. tRNAs have two regions of fundamental functional importance: the anti-codon, which is responsible for specific mRNA codon recognition, and the 3' end, to which the tRNAs corresponding amino acid is attached (by aminoacyl-tRNA synthetases). tRNAs cope with the degeneracy of the genetic code in two manners: having more than one tRNA (with a specific anti-codon) for a particular amino acid; and 'wobble' base-pairing, i.e. permitting non-standard base-pairing at the 3rd anti-codon position. Lineage: Eukaryota; Metazoa; Chordata; Mammalia; Artiodactyla; Bovidae. The record is from Rfam by way of RNAcentral. RNAcentral also lists the same sequence under 2 other names.
CCUGAUAGCUCAGUUGGUAAAGAAUCUGCUUGCAAUGCAGGAGACCCAGGUUCGAUUCCUGGGUCAGGA